CGGCGUGGGCUUUUAAGAGUUACUUGGAAAGGAAUUUGGCUUUAUCUGAGAGGCUCUUAACUUGACCAGUAAGUGCAUAAACUUGGGCCUUCAGCCCUUCAUUUUAGCUUUUAGAUCAUCAGAGGCACCUGGUCUCUUAGAGAAUAACUACUACAUCUUUGCCUUGAGCUGUAUAAUCUCAGCAUCUCUAGUAGCCGCAACCAUCCCC
This 208-nucleotide long non-coding RNA is filed under the name Capsicum annuum. RNAcentral describes it as "long non-coding RNA (CANN_LNC005461)". Lineage: Eukaryota; Viridiplantae; Streptophyta; Magnoliopsida; Solanales; Solanaceae. The record is from RNAcentral.